This 372-nucleotide ribosomal RNA is filed under the name uncultured organism. RNAcentral describes it as "partial 16S ribosomal RNA". It matches the Rfam family "Bacterial small subunit ribosomal RNA", at positions 527 to 896 of the family's 1533-position model. The record is from RNAcentral.
GUAGGUGGCAAGCGUUGUCCGGAAUUAUUGGACGUAAAGCGCGCGCAGGCGGUCCUUUAAGUCUGAUGUGAAAGCCCACGGCUCAACCGUGGAGGGUCAUUGGAAACUGGGGGACUUGAGUACAGAAGAGGAAAGCGGAAUUCCAAGUGUAGCGGUGAAAUGCGUAGAGAUUUGGAGGAACACCAGUGGCGAAGGCGGCUUUCUGGUCUGUAACUGACGCUGAGGCGCGAAAGCGUGGGAGCAAACAGGAUUAGAUACCCUGGUAGUCCACGCCGUAAACGAUGAGUGCUAAGUGUUAGGGGGUUUCCCGCCCCCUUAGUGCUGCAGCUAACGCAUUAAGCACUCCGCCUGGGGAGUACGGCCGCAAGGCUG